RNAcentral lists this ribosomal RNA (449 nucleotides) under uncultured bacterium. Its description in RNAcentral is "bacterial SSU rRNA". It matches the Rfam family "Bacterial small subunit ribosomal RNA", at positions 328 to 793 of the family's 1533-position model. The record is from RNAcentral.
UCUCCAGACUCCUACGGGAGGCAGCAGUCGGGAAUAUUGCGCAAUGGAGGAAACUCUGACGCAGUGACGCCGCGUAUAGGAAGAAGGUUUUCGGAUUGUAAACUAUUGUCGUUAGGGAAGAUAAAAGACUGUACCUAAGGAGGAAGCCCCGGCUAACUAUGUGCCAGCAGCCGCGGUAAUACAUAGGGGGCAAGCGUUAUCCGGAAUUAUUGGGUGUAAAGGGUGCGUAGACGGAAGAACAAGUUGGUUGUGAAAUCCCUCGGCUCAACUGAGGAACUGCAACCAAAACUAUUCUCCUUGAGUGUCGGAGAGGAAAGUGGAAUUCCUAGUGUAGCGGUGAAAUGCGUAGAUAUUAGGAGGAACACCAGUGGCGAAGGCGACUUUCUGGAUUGUACCUGACGCUGAGGCGCGAAAGCGUGGGUAGCGAACGGGAUUAGAUACCCUAGUAC